UCACACACCCCCUUGGGGGGAUCAUCUCCCCCUCUCUCUCCCUCUUUUUCUCCUCCAUCAAAACUCCACACCUCCACCCUUUCUCUCUUCCAAUCAAGUCUCCACUCCUUCCAACUACUGCCCAGGUGUCUUCUUAGCCCAAGGAUAUCAGCAAGAAGAAGCUCCAUGGCCGGCUAGUUCUCCAUCUUCUUGAAAAAUCAUUGGAAAGCUUGUAAUGACGGUGCUUUUAUUUCUUUAUCUUUUAUACUUUCUUCUUUAUAUGCAAUAAAAGAUUUG
Molecule: long non-coding RNA, 276 nt
Filed under: Elaeis guineensis (African oil palm)
Lineage: Eukaryota; Viridiplantae; Streptophyta; Magnoliopsida; Arecales; Arecaceae
Description: long non-coding RNA (EGUI_LNC004993)
Source: RNAcentral